Molecule: unclassified non-coding RNA, 216 nt
Filed under: uncultured fungus
Lineage: Eukaryota; Fungi
Description: sequence contains ITS1
Source: RNAcentral
AUUAUCCUCGAAAUAGAGGUAGAUGCUCCGAGGCAGGCUUGGGCAACCAGCUGUCUACGUUGAUCUACCUUUACUCUUCAUGGACAUCCCCUCUGUGUAUCAACCCUUUGUUGCUUCCCGCAUGGCGUGGCCUGCAAGGGUUACUCUGCGGGGAGGAUAUCAUAAACUCUGGUUGUUGUGUUGUUAGUCUGAGUGGUAAACACAUUAAACAAGUUA